GGGCACACAGCGGCCGCCAUUGUGGCAAGACCCAGUCUCAGCUGGCUUCUCCAAGGGAGCCGAAGAAACUCAGGAGUGCUGCGUAGAAUUCUUCCCAAAGGCCUAGAUUCAUCUUGAAGGGUGGGGAUCAACCUCUUCAACCAGCCAAGAUUUGGAAGGAGAGAAAUUAUACGGAAAAUGAGAUGUUGCUGUCAUGACCCGUUCCCAGAAUUCAGAAAGUACAGCAAUCCUCGGAUUAUCAAGCUGUCUAUAAAUGGUUUCAAUUUAAGGUCAACAGAAGGCAUGGUGGAAAGAGAGGACAGCUAUUCAACCCAUGGCAACCAGAAAGCAGACAGAAGAGGAGCCAAGGGUGAUAGCACUCCCUUCCAGGUCCUACUCAUAGUGACCACCUGCAACCAGCCCGAGCCUCCUGACAGCACACUCAGCUACUAAACUCUUAUGAAUGGAUGAAUCCAUGGAUGGGUAUAGUGCUCCCGGAAUCCAAUCACCUUCUACACACAUGAGAAUUUGGGGGAACAUUUUAGAUCUAAACUAUGACAGACAGAAAUAUUAAAAUGCAAUGAACAUUUAAAUAUAUUCAUUAGAACACAAUAGGCUAUCAAUUAGACUUUAUAGAAUUCUUAAGUACAUAUUAGUGUAGAUACAAAAGGUUGGAGUUUAUUCAUUGAUCCAGUAAAUAUUUAUUGAGCAUCUACUUUAUUGACUAUAUUAUUAAUAAAAUAAUAACAGACUUAUUAGACACUCAGCUUGAGGCCCAAAGAAAUAGAGUAUGUUCAGAUUUCAGGAGGAAAGUGGCAAAGUCUGUUAGGAAAAAGAAACAAGAAAACUUGGAUAAGAGAUUUGGUUCAACAUAAAAGGAGCAAAGAAAUUAGAGGUAAGGUUAUUCUGAGAAAUAUGUUAAAAUCCAGAAAUAUUGUGACAUUUAUAGAUAAAUUUAUAUUUUUGUUUCAUUUGAGCAAUGAGGGUUCACAAGAAUAAUUUAAAGGACUCAUGACCGUAAAUGCUUCUGAUUGGAGCAUAUUUUAUAGCAGUGCAUGGAGAGAUGAAUAUAGUGAUUAUGUAUUUAAAAAUUUAACUUGACCUAAGUUUGGUUCUGCAAAUACAAAAAAGAGUAGAUAGGAAGUGGAGUACACAGGAAUGUGCUCUUUCUGUGGUUAGACUCCCACAGGAAAUAGGCAAAGGCAUCAACCUCAAGAAACUAGAAACCCCAAGAAAGAAGCAAGAAAAUA
Molecule: non-coding RNA, 1229 nt
Organism: Heterocephalus glaber (naked mole-rat)
Lineage: Eukaryota; Metazoa; Chordata; Mammalia; Rodentia; Bathyergidae
Source: RefSeq, a predicted model, not a curated record